This 330-nucleotide ribosomal RNA is filed under the name uncultured bacterium. Its description in RNAcentral is "bacterial SSU rRNA". It matches the Rfam family "Bacterial small subunit ribosomal RNA", at positions 568 to 898 of the family's 1533-position model. The record is from RNAcentral.
CGCGUAGGUGGUAGUGCAAGUCUGAGGUGGAAUCCUAUGGCUUAACCAUAGAACUGCCUUGGAGACUGCAUUACUUGAGUUAGUGAGGGGAGGGUAGAAUUCCUGGUGUAGCGGUGAAAUGCGUAGAUAUCAGGAGGAAGGCCGGUGGCGAAGGCGGCCCUCUGGCGCUGAACUGACACUGAGGCGCGAAAGCGUGGGGAGCAAACAGGAUUAGAUACCCUGGUAGUCCACGCCCUAAACGGUGGGUACUAGGUGUAGGGCUCGUAAGGGUUCUGUGCCGAAGCGAAAGCAUUAAGUACCCCGCCUGGGGAGUACGGCCGCAAGGUUGAA